This 461-nucleotide ribosomal RNA is filed under the name uncultured bacterium. Its description in RNAcentral is "SSU rRNA". It matches the Rfam family "Bacterial small subunit ribosomal RNA", at positions 26 to 518 of the family's 1533-position model. The record is from RNAcentral.
AGAAUCAACGCUGGCGGCGUGCCUAACACAUGCAAGUCGAACGAGAAAGGGACUUCGGUCCUGAGUAAAGUGGCGCACGGGUGAGUAACACGUGACUAACCUACCCUUGAGUGGGGAAUAACUUCGAGAAAUCGAGGCUAAUACCGCAUAAUACCUACGGGUCAAAGGAGCAAUUCGCUUAAGGAGGGGGUCGCGGCAGAUUAGCUAGUUGGCGGGGUAAUGGCCCACCAAGGCAGUGAUCUGUAUCCGGCCUGAGAGGGCGCACGGACACACUGGAACUGAAACACGGUCCAGACUCCUACGGGAGGCAGCAGUGGGGAAUUUUGCGCAAGUGGGGGAAACCCUGACGCAGCAACGCCGCGUGGAGGAUGAAGUCUCUUGGGACGUAAACUCCUUUCGACCGGGACGAUAAUGACGGUACCGGAAGAAGAAGCCCCGGCUAACUUCGUGCCAGCAGCCGC